AUCAUGAUGUUUCCACAAUAGUUACAUGAAUAGAAUGGAAUAUAUGAUAGUAGUGUAUGUAUCUAAACUGUGAUUUCUAAACUCGGUGGUUAACAUUUUGCUGUGUUAAUUAAACAAUUCAAUAUUUAUAUUGUUCACUAAUGUUAUUCAAGUGAAGUGAUGCAGUGAUAUUUGAUACCACCGAAGCAUGUAACCUUGUAGAGUUGAAAGCAAAUUGAGGAGAUAAUCUUAUUGAGAAAUUUCAUGACAUUGAGGUAUUCAUAGAGAUGCCUAUAUACUAUGUGAUAGAAAGUUGUCACUUAGAAAUAUUCUAAGUAGACAUGUACAUGAUUGUGAUUCAUGAAAUAUUUUGAGAUACCAUAAACUAUAAUAUGGUAUAUUGUGGAUUAUCCAUUGUAUUAUAAUAAUACAAUGAUGUAUA
This 421-nucleotide long non-coding RNA is filed under the name Trifolium pratense (red clover). Its description in RNAcentral is "long non-coding RNA (TPRA_LNC014188)". Lineage: Eukaryota; Viridiplantae; Streptophyta; Magnoliopsida; Fabales; Fabaceae. The record is from RNAcentral.